UACGUAGGGCGCAAGCGUUUGUCCGGAAUUAUUGGGCGUAAAGAGCUCGUAGGCGGCCUGUUGCGUCCGCUGUGAAAUCCCGGGGCUUAACCCCGGGCCUGCAGUGGAUACGGGCAGGCUGGAGGCAGGCAGGGGAGAACGGAAUUCCCGGUGUAGCGGUGAAAUGCGCAGAUAUCAGGAGGAACACCGAUGGCGAAGGCAGGUCUCUGGGCCACUACUGACGCUGAGAAGCGAAAGCAUGGGGAGCGAACAGG
RNAcentral lists this ribosomal RNA (254 nucleotides) under uncultured bacterium. RNAcentral's name for it is "partial 16S ribosomal RNA". It matches the Rfam family "Bacterial small subunit ribosomal RNA", at positions 524 to 776 of the family's 1533-position model. The record is from RNAcentral.